Molecule: ribosomal RNA, 150 nt
Filed under: uncultured Nitrosomonadales bacterium
Lineage: Bacteria; Pseudomonadati; Pseudomonadota; Betaproteobacteria; Nitrosomonadales
Description: partial 16S ribosomal RNA
Rfam family: Bacterial small subunit ribosomal RNA
Source: RNAcentral
CUACGGGAGCUACGGGAGGCAGCAGGGGGGAAUUUUGGACAAUGGGCGAAAGCCUGAUCCAGCCAUGCCGCGUGAGUGAAGAAGGCCUUCGGGUUGUAAAGCUCUUUUAGUCGGAAAGAAAGAGUUGCAAUGAAAAUUGUGAUUUAUGAC